GGAAUUUUGGAAAGAAGCUAAGUUAAGUUUAACGGUAAUCUCCAAUCAAGGCAAGUUUCUCAGUUUAUUUAUGUGGACUUAUAAUUGCUAUAGAUAACUGUUAGCAUGAUUUAUGUUUAUAAAUAUGUAAUACCUAUGAACUGCAUUAUUUGCUUUGUGAAUGAUGAAUGUCAAAUUAUGACUAGUUAUUGAAUUGAGUCGGGGAACUCAAUAUAUAUGUGCAAUGAAUGACAUGUACAUGACAUGUGUAGUAUGAUAUGAUAUGUAUGUUGCUACCAGCAGGACAUAAAUGUGAUAAUGCAUUUGUAAUACGCUUGAACACCAAGAAUAUAAAUGCAUGAAUUGAAUGUGAAACCUAUGUGCUACGUGAUGCAUGAUAAACUGUUAGACUUGCUGGACCGUCGUGCUCAAUCUUGCUUAAUUUGCAGGUUAAAGCUAUGAUGCGAUCUAUCGUGAUUAGGAGCACAUGAAAAGAAG
RNAcentral lists this long non-coding RNA (477 nucleotides) under Panax ginseng (ginseng). RNAcentral describes it as "long non-coding RNA (PGIN_LNC015526)". Lineage: Eukaryota; Viridiplantae; Streptophyta; Magnoliopsida; Apiales; Araliaceae. The record is from RNAcentral.